Molecule: ribosomal RNA, 460 nt
Filed under: uncultured bacterium
Lineage: Bacteria
Description: partial 16S ribosomal RNA
Rfam family: Bacterial small subunit ribosomal RNA
Source: RNAcentral
CCUACGGGUGGCAGCAGUGAGGAAUAUUGGUCAAUGGGCGGAAGCCUGAACCAGCCAAGUCGCGUGAGGGAAUAAGGCCCUACGGGUCGUAAACCUCUUUUGCCGGGGAGCAAGGGCGGGGACGUGUCCCGGCCCGGCGAGUACCCGGAGACAAAGCAUCGGCUAACUCCGUGCCAGCAGCCGCGGUAAUACGGAGGAUGCGAGCGUUAUCCGGAGUUAUUGGGUUUAAAGGAAGCGUAGGCGGGCUUUCAAGUCAGCUGUAAAAUCGCGCGGCUCAACCGCGCCCCGCAGUUGAAACUGGACGCAUUGAGUUCACAACAGGCAGGCGGAAUGUGUGGUGGAGCGGUGAAAUGCAUAGAGAUCACGAGGAACCCCGAGUGCGAAGGCAGCCUGCCGGGGUGCGACUGACGCUGAGGCUCGAAGGUGCGGGUAUCAAACAGGAGUAGAUACCCGAGUAGUC